GCCGCGUCUGGACCCCCUUCUCCUCGCCAACCCUGGCCACCGCACCAAAAUGCUAGCCACCACCCCCUCCUCGGCCUGCUCGUGAUGGCCUCCUCUUCUCUCUCUGGAGACCGCAUUCCCCCCUCCCCUCUCUCCUCCCAUGCUGAUUCCCUCUGGAACCUUCUCGACCAAGCCCUUCAGAGCUUUUUCUUUUUUUCCGUCAAAUCUCCUCCCCUUCUUCUUGCCACC
Molecule: long non-coding RNA, 228 nt
Filed under: Elaeis guineensis (African oil palm)
Lineage: Eukaryota; Viridiplantae; Streptophyta; Magnoliopsida; Arecales; Arecaceae
Description: long non-coding RNA (EGUI_LNC012148)
Source: RNAcentral